Molecule: long non-coding RNA, 543 nt
Filed under: Chrysolophus pictus (golden pheasant)
Lineage: Eukaryota; Metazoa; Chordata; Aves; Galliformes; Phasianidae
Description: lncRNA (ENSCPIG00010002944.1)
Source: RNAcentral
GAUGCAGAGAAGGAAGGCUCGGUUGUUUGGAUCCUUAAUAAGUCAGUAAAUAUUUCAGGAUGAAGUGGUCUGCUUGUUGUCAAAAUUAAAAAAAGAAAAAAGGAAAAGAGAAAGAAAUCCACCCCAAAAUACCAUGAGGGGAAUAUCUGUCUUCAGUGAUGCUCGGCUGGUAUUUAGUGGCAGCAGAGGUUCCUGGAGAUGCUCUGAGCCUCGUGUUUCAUUUCUGAAGGAAGUUUAUUAAUAAUGAAGGGGAGAAAUUGAUCGGUGGAUCCACAGAAGGGGGAAAACUAGCAGUGUUAUUUUUCUUCAAAAAAUAAAGAAAAAGCAGUGCAAGAAGAGAGCAUUCACCUCUCCAGUGGCUGGAUUCCAGGGGAAAAAAAGGGAAAAUUCGGGAGCAGCUUUGCUUGGCUGCAUGCAGACAAGAAGCCCCACUGGCCUCCUGCCUGCUCCUGGGCUGCCAGCGGAAGCUUUGCCAUGGACUUGGCAGCACUGUGCCCAAAUGCUGCCCGGCUUUGUGCUGCGCUUCCCGGUGGAGCCAGGAAC